UAAAGUUACACGCUAACUUUGAAGUACCCAUUAAAUGGGUUUCUUGUACCCAUUUUUAUUGCUUGUACUGAGUUGUCAAAAAAAGGGUAUUAUUUUCUGACAUUAAAAAGGGUACAUUUUACUCUUCUUGAGGAAUGACUUCAGUCAGCAAUAAUGGGUGAAAUAAUGUCGUUAUUUUGAGCAGAAAGAUUGAAAUUAUUACCACGAAUUAUAUUUCAUUAAUUAACUGAAAGCAUCAUGGACCCUCGAAGAAGCACAAAAAGCGGCAAUUUAGGAGCGAUUUUUCAUCCGGGAUCUGGAACAGGAAGAUACGGAGCAAGCGCCACGGAUUCAGAUGGACCAAUGUUAUUAAUACUCCAAUUAACACUUUAUUUAAAAGUAAUAAUCUAAUAAAAUUAUUUUCAUUAGACUCUUA
Aedes aegypti (yellow fever mosquito) is the source of this 415-nucleotide long non-coding RNA. RefSeq lists it as uncharacterized. The record is from RefSeq and is a predicted model, not a curated record. Lineage: Eukaryota; Metazoa; Arthropoda; Insecta; Diptera; Culicidae. The transcript is spliced from 2 exons.